UAUAAAGUUAAAAUUCUAACAGACGAUCAAUUAGAGGGCAAGUCUGGUGCCAGCAGCCGCGGUAAUUCCAGCUCUAAUAGGAUAUAUCAAAGUUGUUGCAGUUGAAAAGCUCGUAGUCGUAUUUCUGGCGGGUUGAUGUUCUUGCUUGUGUUUGAUGAAAGUCGAAUGCAGCAAAGGGCCGCCUGCCAUUUUGUGGAUCAAAGAUGGAAUAAGUAUGCGUAAGUAUGUUUGUUCAUCUCCACUCAGUCACUGAGAGCAAAUUGGAGUGCUCAAAGCAGGCUUUACAGCUUUGAACAUUUUAGCUUGGAAUGACAAAGUAAGACUUCUAGUCCACUUUGUUGGUUCUGAAUGAGAAGUAAUGAUGAAUAGGAACAGUUGCGGGGGUACUCGUACUGGAAAGUCAGAGGUGAAAUUCUUGGAUUUUUCCACGACGAACAACUGCGAAAGCAUUUACCAAGGAUGUUUUCAUUGAUCAAGAACGAAAGUGCGAGGAUCGAAGAUGAUUAGAUACCAUCGUAGUUCGCACAGUAAACGAUGCCGACUCGGGAUUGGGAUUCAUUCGUUAUUUAAGAAGGAUCUCAGCACCGUAUGUGAAAACAAAGUCUUUGGGUUCCGGGGGGAGUAUGGUCGCAAGGUUGAAACUUAAAGGAAUUGACGGAAGGGCACACCAGAGGUGGAGCCUGCGGUUUAAUUUGACUCAACACGGGGAAACUCACCAGGUCCAGACAUGAGAAGGAUUGAUAGUUUGAAAGCACUUUCUUGAUUUCAUGGGUGGUGGUGCAUGGCCGUUCUUAGUUGGUGGAGUGAUUUGUCUGGUUGAUUCCGAUAACGUACGAGACUCUCAGAGUAAACUGGCUUUGAAGUAAUUCACGUUACUUCAAGCCUCUUUUCUCGACAAUUCGUUUUAAACGAAAGGAAGCAGAGAGCAAUAACAGGUCUGUGAUGCCCCUCGAUGUUCUGGGCUACACGCGCGCUACAAUGACGAGUUCAACGAGUUUUUUCCUUGCCCGGAAGGGUGUGGGUAAUCUUUUCAAUGCUCGUCGUGAUGGGGCUAGAUUUUUGCAAUUAUUAAUCUUCAACGAGGAAUCUCUAGUAUGUGCAGUUCAUCAGACUGCGCAGAAUGCGUCCCUGCCCUUUGUACACACCGCCCGUCGCACCUACCGAUUGGACGAUCCGGCAAGAUGUUUGGAGUUGUGUUUUUUUGUCGCAAGAUGAUUAACGUGACGAAGCUCCUCAA
This 1237-nucleotide ribosomal RNA is filed under the name metagenome. Its description in RNAcentral is "SSU rRNA". It matches the Rfam family "Eukaryotic small subunit ribosomal RNA", at positions 518 to 1762 of the family's 1831-position model. The record is from RNAcentral.